Molecule: ribosomal RNA, 793 nt
Filed under: uncultured bacterium
Lineage: Bacteria
Description: bacterial SSU rRNA
Rfam family: Bacterial small subunit ribosomal RNA
Source: RNAcentral
AGAGUUUGAUCAUGGCUCAGGAUGAACGCUAGCGGCAGGCCUAAUACAUGCAAGUCGAACGGCAAGAUUUGGUAGCAAUACUGAAUCCUAGAGUGGCGCACGGGUGAGUAACGCGUACAUGACAUACCUAUAAGCGAGGGAUAGCAUUGGGAAACUGGUAGUAACCCCUCAUGUGAUUAUUUGUAAUAAAGGUAAAUAAUUAAAACUACGGUGCUUAUAGAUUGGCGUGCGUCUGAUUAGCUAGUUGGCGAGGUAACGGCUCACCAAGGCGACGAUCAGUAGGGGGCGUGAGAGCGUGAACCCCCACACGGGUACUGAGACACGGACCCGACUCCUACGGGAGGCAGCAGUAAGGAAUAUUGGUCAAUGGAGGGAACUCUGGACCAGCCAUGCCGCGUGCAGGAUGAAAGCCCUCUGGGUUGUAAACUGCUUUUAACAGGGAAGAAAAUGCUAUACGCGAUAUAGUACUGACGGUACCUGAGGAAUAAGCACCGGCUAACUCCGUGCCAGCAGCCGCGGUAAUACGGAGGGUGCAAGCGUUAUCCGGAAUCACUGGGUUUAAAGGGUGCGUAGGCGGUUUUAUAAGUCAGUGGUAAAAGGUUGUAGCUCAACUAUAAGAGGUCCAUUGAUACUGUAAGACUUGAAUCGAGUUGAGGUUGGCGGAAUGAGACAUGUAGCGGUGAAAUGCUUAGAUAUGUCAUAGAACACCAAUUGCGAAGGCAGCUGACUAGACUUAGAUUGACGCUGAGGCACGAAAGUGUGGGUAGCGAACAGGAUUAGAUACCCCGGUAGU